GACGAACCGAGCGAACGUUGUUCGGAAUCACUGGGCUUAAAGGGCGCGUAGGCGGGCUGUCAAGUCUGGGGUGAAAUCCCGCGGCUCAACCGCGGAACUGCCUCAGAUACUGACGGUCUCGAGGGGGUAGGGGCGAGCGGAACUGAUGGUGGAGCGGUGAAAUGCGUUGAUAUCAUCAGGAACUCCGGUGGCGAAGGCGGCUCGCUGGACCUCUCUGACGCUGAGGCGCGAAAGCUAGGGGAGCAAACGGG
RNAcentral lists this ribosomal RNA (251 nucleotides) under uncultured bacterium. Its description in RNAcentral is "partial 16S ribosomal RNA". It matches the Rfam family "Bacterial small subunit ribosomal RNA", at positions 524 to 776 of the family's 1533-position model. The record is from RNAcentral.